AGUCACUGACAUUAGAUACCCGGGUAGUCCAGGGUGUAAACGCUGCAGACUUGGUGUUGGAAGCCCUUUGGGGGCAUUCAGUGCCGGAGAGAAGUUGUUAAGUCUGCUACUUGGGGAGUACGUCCGCAAGGAUGAAGCUUAAAGGAAUUGGCGGGGGAGCACCGCAACGGGAGGAGCGUGCGGUUUAAUUGGAUUCAACACCGUAAAACUCACCAGGGAAGACUGUUACAUGAAAGCCGAGAUGAAGACUCUGCUAGAUUUUCAG
This 265-nucleotide ribosomal RNA is filed under the name uncultured archaeon. RNAcentral describes it as "partial 16S ribosomal RNA". It matches the Rfam family "Archaeal small subunit ribosomal RNA", at positions 719 to 982 of the family's 1478-position model. The record is from RNAcentral.